This 496-nucleotide ribosomal RNA is filed under the name uncultured bacterium. RNAcentral's name for it is "partial 16S ribosomal RNA". It matches the Rfam family "Bacterial small subunit ribosomal RNA", at positions 28 to 506 of the family's 1533-position model. The record is from RNAcentral.
GAUGAACGCUGGCGGCGUGCCUAAUACAUGCAAGUCGAGCGAACAGACGAGGAGCUUGCUCCUCUGACGUUAGCGGCGGACGGGUGAGUAACACGUGGAUAACCUACCUAUAAGACUGGGAUAACUUCGGGAAACCGGAGCUAAUACCGGAUAAUAUAUUGAACCGCAUGGUUCAAUAGUGAAAGACGGUUUUGCUGUCACUUAUAGAUGGAUCCGCGCCGCAUUAGCUAGUUGGUAAGGUAACGGCUUACCAAGGCAACGAUGCGUAGCCGACCUGAGAGGUUGCCCGCCCCCUGUGGAGCUGACCCCGGGCCCGGCCUCCUCGGGGGGGCGGCGGGCGGAAUUCUUCCGCAAGGGGCGAGCGCCUGCGGGAGCACCGCCGGGGGGGUGAUAAGGGUUUUCGGUUCUUAAAUCUUUGUUAUGGGAAAAAAAAAAAUGGGAAAGUAACUAUGCCCGUCUGGCCGGCCCCAAAAAAAAAACCCCCGCCUACCUCCGU